This 416-nucleotide long non-coding RNA is filed under the name Felis catus (domestic cat). RNAcentral's name for it is "lncRNA (ENSFCAG00000043653.2)". The record is from RNAcentral. Lineage: Eukaryota; Metazoa; Chordata; Mammalia; Carnivora; Felidae.
GGAGUAUAUAGUGCUACCACUAAGGAACCUCUGUGCUGACCCAGCAGUACUCAGUGUGAGAAUCCUUCAGACUGCAACAGGAUCCACCACCCUUUCUGGGAAGGAAGAGCUUGGGCUCUCUGCUUGGGAAGGAGCAAUCUAUUUAAGUAAGAAAAAAUAAGAACACUAAAACUACUUUUACUAGUGAUGUGACAAACAUAGCAAGUAGUUACAUGCUAAUUCAGGCUAUCACCUUUAAUUAGGACUUGAGGAGGCUGAGUUCUGCUGUCUUCAGUCUUUGGAAAUGAGCACUCAUGAUCAAAGAGCUAUCUUCUUUAAAUAAUUUAAAUAGGUAUCCAUUUUAAUUAAAGAAGAUAUUGAAUAUUGGAUAUGAAAAUGGCUGUUUUUUGGUUUUGUUUUUUUUUUUUAACCUUUAG